This 301-nucleotide ribosomal RNA is filed under the name uncultured bacterium. RNAcentral's name for it is "partial 16S ribosomal RNA". It matches the Rfam family "Bacterial small subunit ribosomal RNA", at positions 509 to 807 of the family's 1533-position model. The record is from RNAcentral.
CAGUAGCCGCGGGAAUACGUAGGUGGCAAGCGUUGUCCGGAAUUAUUGGGCGUAAAGGGCUCGCAGGCGGUUUCUUAAGUCUGAUGUGAAAGCCCCCGGCUCAACCGGGGAGGGUCAUUGGAAACUGGGAAACUUGAGUGCAGAAGAGGAGAGUGAAAUUCCACGUGUAGCGGUGAAAUGCGUAGAGAUGUGGAGGAACACCAGUGGCGAAGGCGGCUCUCUGGACCAUCUCUGACGCUGAUGCACGAAAGCUAGGGGAGCAAACAGGAUUAGAUACCCCAGUAGUCCCUGUCUCUUAUAC